RNAcentral lists this microRNA precursor (103 nucleotides) under Marmota monax (woodchuck). Lineage: Eukaryota; Metazoa; Chordata; Mammalia; Rodentia; Sciuridae. The record is from RNAcentral.
AGUGGGAUAGCUGGGUCAUGUGACCAAUCCAUUCCUAGUUUUUUGAGGAAUCUCCAGACUGCUUUCCAGAGUGGUUACACCAAUUUGCAGUCCUACCAACAAU